RNAcentral lists this ribosomal RNA (137 nucleotides) under uncultured bacterium. RNAcentral's name for it is "partial 16S ribosomal RNA". The record is from RNAcentral.
GCACGGAAGUUAGCCGGCGCUUCUUCUGUUGGUACCGUCAUUAUCUUCCCAACUGAAAGAUCUUUACAACCCUAAGGCCUUCAUCGAUCACGCGGCAUGGCUAGAUCAGGGUUUCCCCCAUUGUCUAAGAUUCCCCA